Molecule: ribosomal RNA, 781 nt
Filed under: uncultured bacterium
Lineage: Bacteria
Description: bacterial SSU rRNA
Rfam family: Bacterial small subunit ribosomal RNA
Source: RNAcentral
AGAGUUUGAUCCUGGCUCAGGACGAACGCUGGCGGCGUGCUUAACACAUGCAAGUCGAACGAUGAAAGCCGGAGCUUGCUCUGGCUGGAUUAGUGGCGAACGGGUGAGUAACACGUGAGUAACCUGCCCCUCUCUCUGGGAUAACCGCCGGAAACGGUGGCUAAUACCGGAUACGACCCUCGGAGGCAUCUCCUGGGGGUGGAAAGAUUUAUCGGUGAGGGAUGGACUCGCGGCCUAUCAGGUAGUUGGUGAGGUAACGGCUCACCAAGCCGACGACGGGUAGCCGGCCUGAGAGGGUGACCGGCCACACUGGGACUGAGACACGGCCCAGACUCCUACGGGAGGCAGCAGUGGGGAAUAUUGCACAAUGGGCGCAAGCCUGAUGCAGCAACGCCGCGUGAGGGACGACGGCCUUCGGGUUGUAAACCUCUUUUAGUAGGGAAGAAGCCGCAAGGUGACGGUACCUGCAGAAAAAGCACCGGCUAACUACGUGCCAGCAGCCGCGGUAAUACGUAGGGUGCAAGCGUUGUCCGGAAUUAUUGGGCGUAAAGAGCUCGUAGGCGGUUUGUCGCGUCUGCAGUGAAAACUGGAGGCUCAACCUCCAGCCUGCAGUGGGUACGGGCAGACUAGAGUGCGGUAGGGGAGAUUGGAAUUCCUGGUGUAGCGGUGGAAUGCGCAGAUAUCAGGAGGAACACCGAUGGCGAANGCAGAUCUCUGGGCCGUAACCGACGCUGAGGAGCGAAAGCAUGGGGAGCAAACAGGAUUAGAUACCCUGGUAGUC